Rhododendron molle is the source of this 78-nucleotide non-coding RNA. The record is from the annotation of a GenBank genome assembly. NCBI's taxonomy places the organism in Eukaryota, Viridiplantae, Streptophyta, Magnoliopsida, Ericales, Ericaceae.
GCGGAUGUAGCCAAGUGGAUCAAGGCAUGCAGUGGAUAAUGAAUCCACCACGCACGGGUUCAAUCCCCAUUGUUCGCC